Molecule: ribosomal RNA, 459 nt
Filed under: Salmonella enterica
Lineage: Bacteria; Pseudomonadati; Pseudomonadota; Gammaproteobacteria; Enterobacterales; Enterobacteriaceae
Description: bacterial SSU rRNA
Rfam family: Bacterial small subunit ribosomal RNA
Source: RNAcentral
AAAUUGAAGAGUUUGAUCAUGGCUCAGAUUGAACGCUGGCGGCAGGCCUAACACAUGCAAGUCGAACGGUAACAGGAAGCAGCUUGCUGCUUUGCUGACGAGUGGCGGACGGGUGAGUAAUGUCUGGGAAACUGCCUGAUGGAGGGGGAUAACUACUGGAAACGGUGGCUAAUACCGCAUAACGUCGCAAGACCAAAGAGGGGGACCUUCGGGCCUCUUGCCAUCAGAUGUGCCCAGAUGGGAUUAGCUUGUUGGUGAGGUAACGGCUCACCAAGGCGACGAUCCCUAGCUGGUCUGAGAGGAUGACCAGCCACACUGGAACUGAGACACGGUCCAGACUCCUACGGGAGGCAGCAGUGGGGAAUAUUGCACAAUGGGCGCAAGCCUGAUGCAGUCAUGCCGCGUGUAUGAAGAAGGCCUUCGGGUUGUAAAGUACUUUCAGCGGGGAGGAAGGUGUUG